Molecule: unclassified non-coding RNA, 148 nt
Organism: Papio anubis (olive baboon)
Lineage: Eukaryota; Metazoa; Chordata; Mammalia; Primates; Cercopithecidae
Rfam family: Metazoan signal recognition particle RNA
About the family: The signal recognition particle (SRP) is a universally conserved ribonucleoprotein.
Source: Ensembl
GCCAGGCGUGGUGGCGCACGCCUGUAGUCCCAGCUACUUGGAAGGCUGAGGCAGGAGUAUUGCUUGAGCCUGGGAGGUGGAGUUUGCAGUGAGCCAAAAUGACGCCAUUGCACUCCAGCCUGGGCAAUAGAGCAAGACUCUGUCUCAA